GAUGAACGCUGGCGGCGUGCCUAAUACAUGCAAGUCGAGCGAACAGAUAAGGAGCUUGCUCCUUUGACGUUAGCGGCGGACGGGUGAGUAACACGUGGGUAACCUACCUAUAAGACUGGAAUAACUCCGGGAAACCGGGGCUAAUGCCGGAUAGCAUUUAGAACCGCAUGGUUCUAAAGUGAAAGAUGGUUUUGCUAUCACUUAUAGAUGGACCCGGGCCGUAUUAGCUAGUUGGUAAGGUAACGGCUUACCAAGGCAACGAUACGUAGCCGACCUGAGAGGGUGAUAGGCCACACUGGAGCUGAGACACGGUCAAGACUCCUGCGGGAGGCAGCAGUAGGGAAUCUUCCGCAAUGGGGGAAAGCCUGGCGGAGCAACGCCGCGUGAGAGAUGAAGGUCUUCGGAUCGUAAAACUCUGUUAUUAGGGAAGAACAAAUGUGUAAGUAACUGUGCACGUCUUGACGGUACCUAAUCAGAAAGCCACGGCUAACUACGUG
Molecule: ribosomal RNA, 497 nt
Filed under: uncultured bacterium
Lineage: Bacteria
Description: partial 16S ribosomal RNA
Rfam family: Bacterial small subunit ribosomal RNA
Source: RNAcentral